RNAcentral lists this ribosomal RNA (253 nucleotides) under uncultured bacterium. RNAcentral describes it as "partial 16S ribosomal RNA". It matches the Rfam family "Bacterial small subunit ribosomal RNA", at positions 524 to 776 of the family's 1533-position model. The record is from RNAcentral.
UACAGGGGGGGCAAGCGUUGUUCGGAAUUACUGGGCGUAAAGGGCUCGUAGGCGGCCAACUAAGUCCGACGUGAAAUCCCAAGGCUUAACUUUGGAACUGCGUCGGAUACUGGAUGGCUUGAAUUCGGGAGAGGGAUGCAGAAUUCCAGGUGUAGCGGUGAAAUGCGUAGAUAUCUGGAGGAAUACCGGUGGCGAAGGCGGCAUUCUGGACCGACAUUGACGCUGAGGAGCGAAAGCUAGGGGAGCAAACGGG